RNAcentral lists this ribosomal RNA (491 nucleotides) under uncultured bacterium. Its description in RNAcentral is "partial 16S ribosomal RNA". It matches the Rfam family "Bacterial small subunit ribosomal RNA", at positions 29 to 507 of the family's 1533-position model. The record is from RNAcentral.
AGUGAACGCUGGCGGUAGGCCUAACACAUGCAAGUCGAACGGCAGCACAGUAAGAGCUUGCUCUUACGGGUGGCGAGUGGCGGACGGGUGAGGAAUACAUCGGAAUCUACUUUUUCGUGGGGAUAACGUAGGGAAACUUACGCUAAUACCGCAUACGACCUACGGGUGAAAGCAGGGGAUCUUCGGACCUUGCGCGAUUGAAUGAGCCGAUGUCGGAUUAGCUAGUUGGCGGGGUAAAGGCCCACCAAGGCGACGAUCCGUAGCUGGUCUGAGAGGAUGAUCAGCCACACUGGAACUGAGACACGGUCCAGACUCCUACGGGAGGCAGCAGUGGGGAAUCUUGGACAAUGGGCGCAAGCCUGAUCCAGCCAUACCGCGUGGGUGAAGAAGGCCUUCGGGUUGUAAAGCCCUUUUGUUGGGAAAGAAAAGCAGCAGGUUAAUACCCCGCUGUUCUGACGGUACCCAAAGAAUAAGCACCGGCUAACUUCGUG